UACGUAGGUCCCGUGCGUUGUCCGGAUUUAUUGGGCGUAAAGCGAGCGCAGGUGGUUUAUUAAGUCUGGUGUAAAAGGCAGUGGCUCAACCAUUGUAUGCAUUGGAAACUGGUAGACUUGAGUGCAGGAGAGGAGAGUGGAAUUCCACGUGUAGCGGUGAAAUGCGUAGAUAUAUGGAGGAACACCGGUGGCGAAAGCGGCUCUCUGGCCUGUAACUGACACUGAGGCUCGAAAGCGUGGGGAGCAAACAGG
This 252-nucleotide ribosomal RNA is filed under the name uncultured bacterium. RNAcentral's name for it is "partial 16S ribosomal RNA". It matches the Rfam family "Bacterial small subunit ribosomal RNA", at positions 524 to 776 of the family's 1533-position model. The record is from RNAcentral.